UGUGUUGUAUUUAAGGUCCGACCGAGAUCUCGGUCUCGAUCUCGGUCUCGGCUCUCGGCCAAAAUGGGCCGAGAUUCUUGCCGAGACCGAGAAUAAGCAAU
Molecule: long non-coding RNA, 101 nt
Organism: Cydia pomonella (codling moth)
Lineage: Eukaryota; Metazoa; Arthropoda; Insecta; Lepidoptera; Tortricidae
Exons: 2
Source: RefSeq, a predicted model, not a curated record